AAGCAAUUGCUGAACAGCAAAUGACUUUCAGCUGGACUGUGUUAACCAUGGGUGGUGCUGCCCUGAGAGAUGGCUGCAGGGAGCACUGGCUCUAUUUAAGACAGUAUCUGCCAGCCCUUUUUGGCCUAUGAGUGGUGGGGCAGUUGUGUUGGGGUGGUGCUCUUGGUGGUUGCCUGUGGUCUCCAGGAGUAUUGUGCCUGUGCUGGUGGCCCUGGAAAAGCCUUCCUGACUCAAACCUGGCCGUGCUAUUGGAGGAGGUGAUGCUCUGAUAGAAGUUUUCAACACCUGCCUGCUGAGUGAUAACUGGCUUGGUUUCCUGGUCUCCUCAGUGCAGGUUUGGAUGCAGCCAGAAUUGCAACAAACCCUUCUAUUGGCUGCUGGAUUGAAGUCUAAAUUCUGACCCACAUGCGAAUUUUGUGAUUGGUUCCAUUUGUUACAAUGAGUGGUACUAAUUAUCUGGAUCUAAGUAUAAUUAGAUGAAUCUAGAUCAUAAGUCUGGGAAUUGUACCCAAAAAUAUGAAGUUCAUUACCCUUUGUUCUCUAGUUUCACUGAAUAACAAUAGUAAGUACUAGCCAUUCCUGCUCGGAAUCUAUUACAAGCCACCUCAAAGGCCAAUGAAGCCUAUAAAGAAAAAGCAUGUAACCUAUGGGAACAGCACAUCCUUACAAGCUUGCAGAACUGCAGUCGUGGAGGAAGGUAGCUAUACGUACCUCAGGGAGGAUGCAAACAAUUCACAUUUUAUUUUUGCCUAAUACCCCAACCUUUAUAUUUUUACCCAAAUUUGAUAGUUUUUAUUCCCUGAUUUGAUUCAUUGUGUACAUUCUUUUCUAGAUAGCAGUUUAACUGUUGUUUUGUCAUAAAGAGGUGAUGCAGGUUCUUGUCAGUCUUAGGGUGAUUCUGGGAUGAGUGCUUCUACCCUAGUGUUGAAAAUCUGAAGACUUCUUUAUGUCUGCAUUGAGUCUGGUUUUGUUUCUCUUCAUCCUGAGAGAUCUCUCUGGCUAGCAACCCCAGCGCAAACUAGAGAACGCUGUCUCUUUAGUAUGAAAGAACUCAUAACUGUUUCAGAAAGCAUCGCUGUUUCAGUAUCAAGCUGAAAGUUUGAGUAUCCUGGAGCUUUUAGGGUAGUUACUGUUCUGCUAAAAUAAAAACCUGAGCUCACGAGUGA
Molecule: long non-coding RNA, 1166 nt
Organism: Numida meleagris (helmeted guineafowl)
Lineage: Eukaryota; Metazoa; Chordata; Aves; Galliformes; Numididae
Exons: 3
Source: RefSeq, a predicted model, not a curated record